GUUAAUUUUGAGGUGCUAAACUAGCACCAACGUAGGUGUCAAAUCAGCACAAUGCAGUGGUGCUAAAUAGAAAGUGCUAUUUUGACACCAAUUUCGGCGCUAAUUUAACACCAUCAAAUCUGACAUUACGCUAAAAGUGCCAAUAUGACACCGUUUAAAUUCAGCACCAUUGUAAUGUGUUGAAAUAACACCUCUGUUGCCGACGGAAAGUGCUAAAAUAACGCUAUAUUGAGAGCUAAAGUACGGGGUGUCAAAAUAACACUAAAUGGCGGAUAGGAAAAAAGCGGUUCUUUAAGUAAUUAUUGGAAAAUAAGUCCGUAUUUUCGAUUCAGAUGUUUUGGAACAAGAAAUUCCUGUGCGUUUUGGCACAACUAUUCAUCUGAGUGAUCUGACGACAUGGAAAUUCGACUUGUUCUGAUACAAAAAAACCGAUAGAGACGAAUACUAGACAAAUGGUAGAUCGAUAGUAUCGAUAUUCGAUAGUGAUCCAUUGUCCUUUUCAUUUUAUCAAACUAUGUUAUUCCGGGCUAUAUUUUCGGACUGCCUAUGUAUUGAUUGCUACAAAGUAUUUAUUUCGCAAUCGCCUGCGCUAUAUGUAUGUCCAUAUAAGGAACAAAAUGUAACACGUGAUCAGCGCCUGUAUGCAAAUUUUUGAGCGCGUCGUUUGAAAACUCUUUUGAAACGUACUUCAUAGUUCAUACUGCCAUGUUGAAGACGUUUUGAGCGUAUUUUCUUAACUAUUUUGGUACUUCUGAAUAUGCUGAACAACAACGAACUCACAUAAGGAAAUAUCAAGACAAUUGGCUAUGACAUUAUCUCAGAAAUAUCUUGAGAAGCCAAAUGAAUUCUACUUUUAAUACUGCGAUGAUCUCUUUAGCAAUCUGGGUCAAAGAAAAUAUCAUUGCAAUAAUAGUUUUCACCAAGAGUGAACAAAGGCUUCAAUGUGGAAAAUUAAGGGGAAACUGUAAUUCUAAUGAUUGAUGAUUCACAAGGGAAUAAGGGAUAUUUACUGUCAACAAUGAAGUGUAUACAAUUAAUGUAUCCAACCAUGGAAGAAAAACGAAAUAUUUCACCUAUGAUAAUUUAGAAAUAUCCCUUCCUUGCUGACUCAAUUGUGGUGGAACAGUAAGUGAUAACCUUGUUGUUAUACAUAAUCUUUAUGAUUAUCUAUGUGUACCACCUCUAUGAUACCCCGGAUCUGACUUGUUAAACAUCUGGAAUGGAUCUGACUUGUUAAACAUGUCGAUAAUUCAAUUUAUUUUGAUACAGGGUUCAUGGAUCAUAACAAGGCCAAGGGUAGAAACAAUUUAACAAAAAUAUCCUGCACUCCAGCUUAUUACAGAGGUAAGUUUGCUUUUAGUUUACAGCAUUCAUAUUGAUAAGGUACCUGUUUGAUUGAUAUCAAGUGCUCUAUUUCAACACUUUGCUAUAAUUCUUGUUGAGAAACUAUCCAAACAGAUAAUUGACUGCCAAAUUUCUUUGUUCGACAUAAUACCCAUGUGUGCUAGUUGGCAACUUUUUAGUUAGCCUGUCAUAUUUCGUGUAAAAUUCUCAUUGAUAUUUUAGUUAAUUGACAGAGUAUGGGUUCUAAAUUACCAGUAAAAUAAUUUUCUUUCACAAUGUAUCUAGCAUACUGUAUUAAUUCUUUUUCAGGUAAAAACUGAAUUUUAAAGAGUAAACUACAAGUUGAUCCAUGAUAUGGUUGGCAAAUUUCAAUCCAUUGAUUCAGAAAAAUGUUUUGGACUAUGCCAAGAAAUGUAACAAGAAAACUACAUUGGUUCUUAUAAACAGAGUGGAGAGAGCAAUUGCUGGGAAAUCAGGUAAAUCAUGCAAUUAAUAAUAAUUUGUCAAAACCAAUUGAUAGCACAAUUACAAUAUUAUAGCAAUACAGGCUAUUGCUACAUGAAAUAUGGCCUAUUUAGAAUCUAUCUAUAUUGAUAAACAAUUUUUUUAACAGACAUCAAGAGCAGAGUUGCUUAGAUUUUGAAGGAACUAUUGAAGGAGAAUGCAGGAGAAUCUCAGUCUCUCUUCUUUAAGAUUUGUUCUGUUGUUGAUUCCAUAGAUCAGGAUAAUUGGUUCAGAAGACCUUUCAGAUGUUCAAACUUUGAUGAUUGCGGUGGAGGGGCAAAUGUUAACUUAUUCAAGAACAGACUCAACCUUAUUUUAUCUACUAAACAUGGAGUACAUUGCUGGUGUGGCAAAUGGAAACUGCUCUCGUCAGGAAGCCUUAGCCUUAGGACAAAAACUUUUAAAGGACGUUAAGUACCCUAGACAUUUUAUACACUCUUGUACAUAGAUUUUCCUGUCACAACAUAUGUAGAAAUAAAUAUUUUUAAAUCGCAUUUUGUCCACUUUGUAUGAUUAUAGCUUAUGCUAUUUAGUCGCUCCAUUGCUAGCGCUAAAAGUGCAAAAACUAAACCACACAAACUUCGGGUGUUAGAUUAACACCAUAAAUUGGCGUAAAAGUAGCACCAAAGAUCGUGCUAAUUUGACACCUUAUUUCGCGGUGUCAAUUUAGCACCCGAAAUGGUGUUAUUCUGUACCUUUUUAUCUGACACCUUUUUUGGUGUCAA
Molecule: long non-coding RNA, 2573 nt
Organism: Dendronephthya gigantea
Lineage: Eukaryota; Metazoa; Cnidaria; Anthozoa; Malacalcyonacea; Nephtheidae
Exons: 4
Source: RefSeq, a predicted model, not a curated record